GAGUAAAGAUUUCGGUCGCUUUGGGAGGAGCUCGCUUACUAUCAGCUUGUUGGUACGGUAAUGGCCUACCAAGGCUAUGACGGUUAGGGGGUGUGAGAGCAUGACCCCCAGCAUUGGCACUGAAACACUGGCCAAACACCUACGGGUGGCUGCAGUCGAGAAUCUUCCACAAUGGGGGAAACCCUGAUGGAGCGAUGCUGCGUGCGGGAUGAAGGCCUUCGGGUCGUAAACCGCUUUUGUAGGGGACGAAAUUUUUGACGGUACCCUUUCGAAUAAGAGGUUGCUAACUCUGUGCCAGCAGCAGCGGUAAUACAGAGACCUCAAGCGUUAUCCGGAUUUACUGGGCGUAAAGCGUCUGUAGGGGGUUUAUUAAGUUCCAAGUAAAAUUUCAAGGCUCAACUUUGAAUUCGCUUGGAAAACUAAUAAACUGGAGUCUAGCAGAGGUGCAUGGAACUUGUGGUGUAGGAGUGAAAUCCGUUGAUAUCACAAGGAACACCAAAGGCGAAGGCAUUGCACUGGGCUAGCACUGACCCUGAGAGACGAAAGCGUGGGGAGCAAAACGGAUUAGAUACCCGUGUAGUCCACGCCCUAAACGAUGAAUGCUAAAUGUUCGGGGAUUCGACCCCCUGGGUGUUACAGCUAACGCGUUAAGCAUUCCGCCUGGGAAGUACGGCCGCAAGGCUAAAACUCAAAGGAAUAGACGGGGAUCCGCACAAGCGGUGGAGCGUCUGGUUUAAUUCGACAGUAAGCGUGGUACCUCACCAGGGUUUGACAUCCCUUGACAGCCUUGGAAACAAGGUUUCCUUCGGGCAAGGUGACAGGUGCUGCAUGGUCGUCGUCAGUUCGUGCCGUGAGGUGUUCCGUUAAGUCGGGAAACGAACGAAUCCCCUAUUGCAUGUUACAAUUUCUCAUGCAAGACUGCCCGGAUAUACUGGGAGGAAGGUGGGGACGACGUCAGAUCUGCAUGGUCCUUAUACCCUGGGCGACACAGGCGCUACAAUGGCAGAGACAAAGGGUUGCAAAACCGCAAGGUGAAGCUAAUCCCAAAAACUUUGUCUAAGUUCGGAUUGAAGGCUGCAAUUCGCCUUCAUGAAGCUGGAAUCGCUAGUAAUCGUGAAUCAGCCACGUCACGGUGAAUAUGUUCCCGGAUCUUGUACUCACCGCCCGUCACACCAAGAGAGUUGGUAGCUCCCGAAG
Molecule: ribosomal RNA, 1197 nt
Filed under: uncultured organism
Description: bacterial SSU rRNA
Rfam family: Bacterial small subunit ribosomal RNA
Source: RNAcentral